Molecule: ribosomal RNA, 1671 nt
Filed under: Streptococcus salivarius
Lineage: Bacteria; Bacillati; Bacillota; Bacilli; Lactobacillales; Streptococcaceae
Description: partial 16S ribosomal RNA
Rfam family: Bacterial small subunit ribosomal RNA (bases 248-1671)
Source: RNAcentral
GGGGGGGGGGGGGGGGGGGGAGGGGGAGGGGGGAAGGGGGAAGGGGCGGGGGGGGGGGGGGGUGGCUGGGGAGGGGGGGGGGGGGGAGGCGCGGGGGGGGGGCUGGCGGGGGACGGGGGGGGGGCACCGGGGCUGGGGGGGUGGCCGGGGGGGCCGCUUAAUUUGGUGAAUUCAACCGGCCCCCUUUACCCCUUUUGUCUUGUAUGUUCCUGGUUUGCGUUCGCCAACCCCCCCCCCCCCGGCCCGGCUACGGAAGAAUGAAAGGCUUUUUUUGGAAAUUGGACGGGGAUACACGUUGUCCCCCUCUUUGAGGGGGGAUAAUAUGGAACCAUCCCUUACCCGCCAAACAAUUGCUCACCUUUUUUUUUAUGGAAGGGCCAUUCCUCCCAUCAAGAGGGCCCUUGGUUUAUUAGGUGAGAGGGGAGGACCGCCUCCCCUGGGGGACAAAACUAACCCCCCUGGAGUGUUAUCCGCCCACUGGGGAUGGAACCCCGCCCAGCUUCCUAGGGGAGGCAGCAGUAGGUAUCUUCGGCAAGGGGGCCACCCUGACCGAACAACGCCGCGUGAUGAAGAAGUUUUCGGAUCGUAAAGCUCUGUUGAAGUCAAGAACGAGUGUGAGAGUGAAAGUUCACACUGUGACGGUAGCUUACCAGAAAGGGACGGCUAACUACGUGCCAGCAGCCGCGGUAAUACGUAGGUCCCGAGCGUUGUCCGGAUUUAUUGGGCGUAAAGCGAGCGCAGGCGGUUUGAUAAGUCUGAAGUUAAAGGCUGUGGCUCAACCAUAGUUCGCUUUGGAAACUGUCAAACUUGAGUGCAGAAGGGGAGAGUGGAAUUCCAUGUGUAGCGGUGAAAUGCGUAGAUAUAUGGAGGAACACCGGUGGCGAAAGCGGCUCUCUGGUCUGUAACUGACGCUGAGGCUCGAAAGCGUGGGGAGCGAACAGGAUUAGAUACCCUGGUAGUCCACGCCGUAAACGAUGAGUGCUAGGUGUUGGAUCCUUUCCGGGAUUCAGUGCCGCAGCUAACGCAUUAAGCACUCCGCCUGGGGAGUACGACCGCAAGGUUGAAACUCAAAGGAAUUGACGGGGGCCCGCACAAGCGGUGGAGCAUGUGGUUUAAUUCGAAGCAACGCGAAGAACCUUACCAGGUCUUGACAUCCCGAUGCUAUUUCUAGAGAUAGAAAGUUACUUCGGUACAUCGGUGACAGGUGGUGCAUGGUUGUCGUCAGCUCGUGUCGUGAGAUGUUGGGUUAAGUCCCGCAACGAGCGCAACCCCUAUUGUUAGUUGCCAUCAUUCAGUUGGGCACUCUAGCGAGACUGCCGGUAAUAAACCGGAGGAAGGUGGGGAUGACGUCAAAUCAUCAUGCCCCUUAUGACCUGGGCUACACACGUGCUACAAUGGUUGGUACAACGAGUUGCGAGUCGGUGACGGCAAGCUAAUCUCUUAAAGCCAAUCUCAGUUCGGAUUGUAGGCUGCAACUCGCCUACAUGAAGUCGGAAUCGCUAGUAAUCGCGGAUCAGCACGCCGCGGUGAAUACGUUCCCGGGCCUUGUACACACCGCCCGUCACACCACGAGAGUUUGUAACACCCGAAGUCGGUGAGGUAACCUUUUGGAGCCAGCCGCCUAAGGUGGGAUAGAUGAUUGGGGUGAAGUCGUACCAAGGUUGCCAUGGG